AACGAACGUUGGCGGCGUGGAUUAGGCAUGCAAGUCGAACGAGAAAGCCACCUUCGGGUGGUUAGUAAAGUGGCGAACGGGUGAGUAACGCGUGGGAAAUCUGCCCUACAGUUGGGGAUAACACUCCUAACGGAGUGCUAAUACCGAAUGAGACCACGAGAUCGCAUGGUCUUGAGGUUGAAGGUGGCCUCUCCUUGGAAGCUACCGCUGCAGGAGGAUCCCGCGUCCCAUUAGCUUGUUGGCAGGGUAACGGCCUACCAAGGCUUCGAUGGGUAGCUGGUCUGAGAGGAUGGUCAGCCACACUGGGACUGAGAUACGGCCCAGACUCCUACGGGAGGCAGCAGUCGAGAGGCUUCGGCAAUGGGGGAAACCCUGACCGAGCGACGCCGCGUGGGCGAUGAAGGUUGUAAGAUCGUAAAGCCCUGUCAGGAGGGAAGAACUGCCAAUGGGCAAACAGGCCAUUGGUUUGACGGUACCUCCAGAGGAAGCUCCGGCUAACUCCGUGCCAG
This 509-nucleotide ribosomal RNA is filed under the name uncultured bacterium. RNAcentral's name for it is "bacterial SSU rRNA". It matches the Rfam family "Bacterial small subunit ribosomal RNA", at positions 29 to 511 of the family's 1533-position model. The record is from RNAcentral.